CCACCCCAGGACUUCGACUCGGCUGCAUUGGCUCGCAGAGUUCCAGCUGCUCCUCGGGUCGCGGCCCCGCCCGGCUUGUCACGGAGCCCGGAGCUGGAGCUGCGGGGUGGGGGUCCAGUACUCUAUCCACCAAGUCAUCAGACUCUGCCUCUGGUUGAAAGGAAGUUACUGUUACUCUGUUACUCUGUUACUCUGUUACUUGUCCAUAAGGAGAGAAUGCCUCUGAGGGAAGGAGGUGAUCAAAAAGUAUGUGAGGUACAGCUAAGUGGUAUAGGGGAUACAAGGCCAGGACUGGAGAUGGGAGGUCCUGGGUUCAAAUGUGGCCCAAGACUUCCUAGCUGUGUGACCCUGGACAAGUCACUUAAUCCCUUUGCCUAGUCCUUUCCAUUCUUCUGUCUUAGUAUUGAUUCUAAGGUGGAAAGUAGGGAUUGAAACAAAGGAGAUUAGUCUCAAAGAUUUAGUCAUUUGGUUUUAUUUAAUAUAGGAGUUCUGUGCAACCCUUUGGGAUAAUAGAGUCUUCAUUGAUUACGUAGUAGAGUAGUAGUAAUUAACAUAGUAAUGAAUGAUCCUCUAUCAUCAAGCCAUUAAAUUAUAUUCACUAUACUCUAAAGAAAGUAAAGAACUCUAUAACCUACUUUAGAUUGAUUUCCUUAAAAUAGUUCUAGAUAUUAAAGAAUAUUGAUACAUAAGUUUAGUUAUUGAUAACAUUUGUUGGUACACAUUUUUUAAUUAUUUCACUGAUUGAGAUAAAAGAGGUAUUAUUGUAUAUUUGUACUUGACAGAGAAAGUGGAGAGAAGAAAAUUAGAGUAAAUCCCGUCCCUAUCGUAUCAUUAGCAGGAGCCCUUAAAUAUCUAGGAAAUGCAUGCCUCCUUGUGUAAUGCGAUUUUUCUGUCUUGUUUCCCAAUUGGAACCAUAAAAAUUUACACUAUAAUUGAAGAACAUUUUAGUCAGACUUCUUCUCAGAAAAGAGCUCUUUUAAUUUAGUUAUGAUUAUCCUCAUUGUCAAAGGAAAACCCUAAAUGUAGUGGAGAUGACUUAUGUUCAAAGCAAAGAAACCUUUGUGAACGUUUAGAAGAGUGGAAGUUGCCAUUUCUGAGCUUUGUUUAAGAAGAGAUAUGUUCACACCAGAAUGGAUAAAAAGGAAUAUAAAUUCUCUUGAGUUCCAAAUAUUAAAAAAAAUCCGAACUGUUAUCUUUUGUCUUAGACUCAAUACUGAGUAUUGGUUCCAAGCUCUUACGCCCAGUAAGAGCUGGACAAUGGGGUUAAGUGACUUGCCCAGGGUCACACAGCUGGGAAGUGUCUGAGGCCAGAUUCAAACCCAGGACCUCACGUCUCGUCUAGACCUUGGUUAUCAAUCCAUUUACCCACCUAGCUGUUGCCAUUCCAAAUAUUUCUAAUCAAGAAAAGUCAAGGAAAUUUUUUUUUCUUUGUCAUCUUGUGUACUCUAGAAUAAAAUAUGAAACAUAUAGGGACA
RNAcentral lists this long non-coding RNA (1475 nucleotides) under Monodelphis domestica (gray short-tailed opossum). Its description in RNAcentral is "lncRNA (ENSMODG00000043174.1)". The record is from RNAcentral. Lineage: Eukaryota; Metazoa; Chordata; Mammalia; Didelphimorphia; Didelphidae.